GACGAACGCUGGCGGCGUGCUUAACACAUGCAAGUCGAACGGAAAGGCCCGGCUUUUGUGGGGUGCUCGAGUGGCGAACGGGUGAGUAGCACGUGAGUAACCUACCCUUGACUUUGGGAUAACUUCAGGAAACUGGGGCUAAUACCGGAUAGGAUCUCCUGCUGCAUGGUGGGGGUUGGAAAGUUUCGGCGGUUGGGGAUGGACUCGCGGCUUAUCAGCUUGUUGGUUGGGUAGUGGAUUACCAAGGCUUUGACGGGUAGCCGGCCUGCGCGGGUGACCUGCCACAUUGGGACUGAGAUACGGCCCAGACUCCUCCGGGAGGCAGCAGUGGGGAAUAUUGCACAAUGGGAGGAAGCCUGAUGCAGCAACGCCGCGUGCGGGAUGACGGCCUUCGGGUUGUAAACCGCUUUCGCCUGUGACGAAGCGUGAGUGACGGUAAUGGGUAAAGAAGCACCGGCUAACUACGUG
Molecule: ribosomal RNA, 468 nt
Filed under: uncultured bacterium
Lineage: Bacteria
Description: partial 16S ribosomal RNA
Rfam family: Bacterial small subunit ribosomal RNA
Source: RNAcentral